UUUUCUCAAUCAAAGAAAUAAUAUAUUCAAGGCAUAAACAAUUGUGUACUUUCUCUCUUUUCUAUACAAAUCAGAACAUAGCUCUUUCGUUUUUAUUUUUUUAGUUUCUCAUUUCCAGUUUCCAAGUUCGGCUGUGAAUUUUGAUUCAUAAAUUGAUCAAACUCCAAAACAACAUGUCCUGAAGGCCAACAUUGCAUUCAACAUUCUAGCCAUCCCCACUUGCUACUACUUGUUGACACAACAAACACUAUAUUUAUAAAUGUGUUAAUGUUAGAUGCUUUGCAUGCCAAUCCAAGUGCUCACCAUCAGAAUCAGAUGGUGGAGUUUAUUAUGGCUGCAAUAGAUGUAAAACUAUUUUCUUCAUAAACAGUGCAUUGACCAAUUACCUGAAGAAAUCCAAACCUCCCACCAUCCUAAUCACACUCAUCUCUCCCUUCAUAUGAAGCAAUCAAUCAUGUGCAAUACUAAGGAAUUCCAUAAAACAAAUUCCUCCAAAUUUCAAUGUUUGGAUUGUGAUUUCAAACUUCAUUUAUUAUGCGGUCCAUUGCAUUCUAUCAUAAAACAUGACAGCCAUAUGCACUACUUAGAUCUUGUUGAUCCAUUCAUUGAGGAUACCUCUGGUGAAUAUUGUUGUGAUGUUUGUGAAGAAGAAAGAAAUCCACGAAUUUGUGUUUAUUGUUGUCGGAAGUGCAAAUAUAUCGCUCACGUACAUUGUGUUAUCUCUGAGAAAAUUGAUGAUAGAAAGGCCGGUGGCGAGUAAGACCUAGGAGCUUCGUGAUGUACUCGUGGGGACCAUAUAGUUAGGGAAGAUCAAGUGGGCUUAUUUAUGUAUUUUUAUUAAAGAUUGUGUUCUUUUGAAGUUUUAUUUAAAUGUUGCUCAUUUUUAUAUGUUAAAGACAAUUAUUUUAUUUUUUGUAAAACCAUAGAUCCAUAUAUUUAUUUUCAAGUUUUUAUUCAAUAAAAGA
This is a long non-coding RNA of Humulus lupulus (European hop), 965 nucleotides long. RefSeq lists it as uncharacterized. Lineage: Eukaryota; Viridiplantae; Streptophyta; Magnoliopsida; Rosales; Cannabaceae. The transcript has 3 exons. The record is from RefSeq and is a predicted model, not a curated record.